This 146-nucleotide ribosomal RNA is filed under the name uncultured bacterium. Its description in RNAcentral is "partial 16S ribosomal RNA". It matches the Rfam family "Bacterial small subunit ribosomal RNA", at positions 355 to 492 of the family's 1533-position model. The record is from RNAcentral.
UAGGGAAUCUUCGGCAAUGGACGAAAGUCUGACCGAGCAACGCCGCGUGAGUGAAGAAGGUUUUCGGAUCGUAAAACUCUGUUGGUAGAGAAGAACGUUGGUGAGAGUGGAAAGCUCAUCAAGUGACGGUAACACCAGAAGGCGCU